Zonotrichia albicollis (white-throated sparrow) is the source of this 634-nucleotide non-coding RNA. The record is from RefSeq and is a predicted model, not a curated record. NCBI's taxonomy places the organism in Eukaryota, Metazoa, Chordata, Aves, Passeriformes, Passerellidae.
AUUAGAAGUAGCUCUGAUAUUGGAAGUUCCAAUUUAUAUUGCCAGCAGCAGAGACCAUUGUCUGCAAAACACGCUAUGUCUAAAAAUAAAUUAAACACCUAACUUGAUGAAUGACACAGAACAGCCCAAAGCUGUAGGAAUACAAACACGUUUACUCUAAAUCAGAUAAUAUCCUUGGGAAUUCAUCAAUCAAGACCACUUUUAAAUUACUGCUGGAAUUAUCAGUGCUAGUAAUUUCAUUAUACAUACGUAAUCAAUGCUUCAUAAAAAGUGUAUAAGAAUGCUAAGAGAGUUCUUAGGUGCAUAAGUUAAUAUCUUGCUGGUAGGAGCAUAUGCUAUGAAAAACAGUAUUUGUUUAACAUUUCAGUAUUUCUAUAUAGUCUACUGAAACACAAGACACAGAAAAGAAGAAACUGGAAGAUACAGAAGAACUUAAGGUUUCUGUGAAGUUAAAUAAGUUUUGCUUCUGUUACAUAUAUAUAUGUGCAUAUACAUAGUUUGUACCACAUAAAUAUUCAUAUGACUUAUUUGAUGAGUAGAAAAGACUGCCAACUGUAUUCCAGCCACACUACCUUCUGGCCAACUGCUUCAAGUAAUAACUUAACAGACCAUCUGUAGAGUGAGUGUACCAUGU